This is a non-coding RNA of Podarcis lilfordi (Lilford's wall lizard), 2866 nucleotides long. The record is from the annotation of a GenBank genome assembly. Lineage: Eukaryota; Metazoa; Chordata; Lepidosauria; Squamata; Lacertidae.
GGGAAGGUGACAGCGGUUCAAGAAUGGGCGGCACCCCGGAACCGCAAGGACCUGCAGCGUUUCCUGGGGUUCGCCAAUUACUACCGGACCUUCAUCGCUGAUUAUGCUCAUCGCACCACCCCGUUGACCCGGCUACUGCGCCCAAAGACGCCGUUUUCCUGGGACAAGGAGGCAGAGGAGGCGUUUCAGGGGUUGAAGGCCUGUUUCCAGAGGGCACCAAUCUUACAACAUCCUGACCCCUCUCGACCCUUUGUGGUGGAGACCGACGCUUCCAGUACGGCUCUCGGUGCCGUCUUGUCUCAACAGAUUGGUCCUGAAGCGCCACUCUUACCCUGUGCCUUCUAUUCUCGCCAGCUCCUACCAGCGGAGCGUAACUAUACUGUGUGGGAGCGGGAACUACUGGCCAUCAAGGUAGCCUUUGAGGUCUGGCGCCACCAUCUUGAGGGGGCACGACAUCCGGUGGAGGUGAGAACCGACCACCGGAACCUGGAGUACCUCCAGACCACCCGCAAGCUGAACCAAAGACAGAUCCGGUGGGCGUUGUUCUUUUCCCGGUUCCAGUUCCGGAUCCGCUACAUCCCUAGCUCUCAGAAUCAGAAGGCGGAUGCCCUGUCCCGGAAACCCGAAGACAACGCAGACACGGUACAGCAAGCAGAACCCACCACGAUCCUACCUCCGGCUGCAUUCCUGGCCACCCAGGAGGCGCAGCCACUGCAGGUUCGGGUGCGGGAACAGCAGCGGGUCGACGCUUGGGCCCAGGAACGACUCCGGGAGCUGGCUGAAGGGUCCAGCCCACAGUAUCCGGGGCUGGUCCUGCAUCAGGGCCUUCUGCUGCACCACGGUCGUCUGUACAUCCCGCCAGGGCCACUACGGCUGGAGGUUCUCCGGAUGGCCCAUGAUGCCCCAGCAGCGGGGCACUUUGGACGGUAUCGGACCACCCAUCUGGUCAGUCGAGAGUUUUGGUGGCCCCGCCUGAAGGCUGACGUGGCUCGCUACGUUGCUGGUUGUGAUGUCUGCCGGCGCGCCAAGGGACCUACCGGGCGACCCCCCGGCCUACUUCAGCCAUUGCCAGUUCCACCGCGCCCCUGGCACACGGUUUCGUUGGACUUUGUAGUGGACUUACCCUCGUCUCGUGGCUGUACCUGCCUUCUGGUUUUCUCCGACCAUUUCACCAAGAUGGUGCACUGCGCUCCCUGUCCAUCUGUACCCACAGCCAAGGAAACUGCUCAGCUGUACCUUCAGCAUGUCUUCCGCCUGCAUGGACUACCUGAGCGCGUGGUGUCCGACCGGGCGUUCAGUUCACAUCCCGGUUCUGGCGAGCAUUACACCAGACCCUCGGGACAGAGGUCUGCCUCUCGUCAGCCUACCACCCACAGACCGAUGGCCAGACGGAACGGGCGAACGCGGUGCUGGAGCAGUACCUCCGGUGUUACUGCAGCUACCAGCAGGAUGACUGGGUCGACCACCUGGCAUUGGCGGAGUUCGCCUAUAACAACGCGGUGAAUGCGUCCACCCAGCAGACCCCGUUCCAGGCCAGUUAUGGUUAUCAUCCACGGCUGUUUCCAGAGGUGCUGCCGGCAUCCGCGGUCCCGGCGGUGACGGAGUGGCUUCAAGAGCUCCAGUCCCAGCAACAGCUUUUGGUGGAGCAACUGCACCAGGCCAAGGAAGCGUACAAAGCCCAGGCCGACCGCCACCGCCAGGUGGGGCCGGAACUUCGCGUCGGUGACCUGGUUUGGCUCUCCACUCGCCACCUCCACCCCUCUCGACCUUCGCGGAAGUUGGACGCCCGCUUCACCGGCCCGUUCCCUAUCGUAGACCAAAUCUCUCCUGUGGCAUUCCGUCUCCGGUUACCCGCAACCCUGAAGGUUCACCCGGUCUUCCACAGGUCCCUUUUGAGUCCGGUGGCCCCACCCGACGAGUUCCACUCGGACCGUCCCCGACCGCAGCCAGUGUUGGUUCGGGGAGAGCCUGAGUACGAGGUGGAACGCAUCCUGGACUCCCGAUACCGCAGGGGAAAGCUGCAGUAUCUCAUUGACUGGAAGGGGUACGGACCGGAGGACCGUUCCUGGGAACCAGCGGCCAAUGUCCACGCACCUGCCUGCCUCCGAGAGUUCCAUGCGACGUACCCCGGCAAGCCGGGUCCGGACCCUCGGUUGAGGGGGGGGCCUGGGAGGGGGGAUGGUGUGAUGGCCUGGGAUUCCGAUUCGGAGGAUGAAACAGAGGAAUCCCAGCCUGCACAGGAGUCCCCGCCUCCAGGGCCGGCUGAACUGGGGCAAGGCCUAGAUGCUGAAGAGCCUGCACCUGUGGCAGUGCAUCAGGAGCUGGCCCCAGGUGAAGCCCUUCUGGCCCCAGAGGGGCUUGAUGACUCAGUGGCCACAGGUGAGCCUCCUCCAGGGCCCAGUAACCCUUCGGCCUCUCCUGAUCUGCAGAGGCUUAGGGCAGAGAGGCGAAGGGAACUGGUUGCCCCCAGGAGGAGUGCUCGCCUUAAGGCCAGAGGAGGCGGGGCUCCUGGGGACCGGGACCGCCCCUGGCCUUAGAAGAGGAUAAAAGCCCAGUCAGCCCGGCCCCAGGUUGCGGGAGCAACGUCGUUGUUGGCUUCGGACCUUCCUGUGCUCCUGUUCCCUGCUCGGCUUCCUGUUCCUGACUAUCCGGUACUCCUGUUCCCUGCUCGGCUUCCUGUUCCUGACUAUCCGGUACUCCUGUUCCCUGCUCGGCCUCCUGUUCCCGACCAUCCGGUGUUCCUGUUCCCUGCACAGCCUCCUGUUCCAGCAUUCCUGUUCCCCGCCCGGCUCUCUGCCUCGGACCUUGCCCCUCUUCGUGUGGACUCUGCUACACCCAAGGUACCUUACCCCCGGGACCAGCACAG